RNAcentral lists this transfer RNA (54 nucleotides) under Carnobacterium divergens DSM 20623. It matches the Rfam family "tRNA", at positions 1 to 54 of the family's 71-position model. From Rfam's summary of the family: Transfer RNA (tRNA) molecules are approximately 80 nucleotides in length. Their secondary structure includes four short double-helical elements and three loops (D, anti-codon, and T loops). Further hydrogen bonds mediate the characteristic L-shaped molecular structure. tRNAs have two regions of fundamental functional importance: the anti-codon, which is responsible for specific mRNA codon recognition, and the 3' end, to which the tRNAs corresponding amino acid is attached (by aminoacyl-tRNA synthetases). tRNAs cope with the degeneracy of the genetic code in two manners: having more than one tRNA (with a specific anti-codon) for a particular amino acid; and 'wobble' base-pairing, i.e. permitting non-standard base-pairing at the 3rd anti-codon position. The record is from Rfam by way of RNAcentral. Lineage: Bacteria; Bacillati; Bacillota; Bacilli; Lactobacillales; Carnobacteriaceae.
GCGGGUGUAGUUUAGUGGUAAAACCACAGCCUUCCAAGCUGUUGUCGCGAGUUC